CACGUAGGGCGCAAGCGUUGUCCGGAAUUAUUGGGCGUAAAGAGCUCGUAGGCGGUCUGUUGCGUCCGCUGUGAAAACUCGGGGCUUAACCCCGAGCCUGCAGUGGAUACGGGCAGACUAGAGGUAGGUAGGGGAGAAUGGAAUUCCCGGUGUAGCGGUGAAAUGCGCAGAUAUCGGGAGGAACACCGGUGGCGAAGGCGGUUCUCUGGGCCUUACCUGACGCUGAGGAGCGAAAGUGUGGGGAGCGAACGGG
Molecule: ribosomal RNA, 253 nt
Filed under: uncultured bacterium
Lineage: Bacteria
Description: partial 16S ribosomal RNA
Rfam family: Bacterial small subunit ribosomal RNA
Source: RNAcentral